GUGUCAGCAGCCGCGGUAAUACGUAGGGUGCGAGCGUUAAUCGGAAUUACUGGGCGUAAAGCGUGCGCAGGCGGUUCGUUGUGUCUGAUGUGAAAGCCCCGGGCUCAACCUGGGAACUGCAUUGGAAACUGGCGGACUUGAGUGUGGCAGAGGGGGGUGGAAUUCCGCGUGUAGCAGUGAAAUGCGUAGAGAUGCGGAGGAACACCGAUGGCGAAGGCAGCCCCCUGGGCCAACACUGACGCUCAGGCACGAAAGCGUGGGGAGCAAACAGGAGGAUAAACCACGGGAUUAC
This 292-nucleotide ribosomal RNA is filed under the name uncultured bacterium. RNAcentral describes it as "partial 16S ribosomal RNA". It matches the Rfam family "Bacterial small subunit ribosomal RNA", at positions 505 to 796 of the family's 1533-position model. The record is from RNAcentral.